GCUUUCGUGCUGUAGUGGUCAGCACACUCGGCGUGUAUUCGAGAGGCCGUGGUUCGAGUCCCGGCGAAGGCA
Molecule: transfer RNA, 72 nt
Filed under: Stegodyphus mimosarum
Lineage: Eukaryota; Metazoa; Arthropoda; Arachnida; Araneae; Eresidae
Rfam family: tRNA
About the family: Transfer RNA (tRNA) molecules are approximately 80 nucleotides in length. Their secondary structure includes four short double-helical elements and three loops (D, anti-codon, and T loops). Further hydrogen bonds mediate the characteristic L-shaped molecular structure. tRNAs have two regions of fundamental functional importance: the anti-codon, which is responsible for specific mRNA codon recognition, and the 3' end, to which the tRNAs corresponding amino acid is attached (by aminoacyl-tRNA synthetases). tRNAs cope with the degeneracy of the genetic code in two manners: having more than one tRNA (with a specific anti-codon) for a particular amino acid; and 'wobble' base-pairing, i.e. permitting non-standard base-pairing at the 3rd anti-codon position.
Source: Rfam by way of RNAcentral